AUCAUCUGGAAAUCUUGUUAAAAUGCAGAUUCUGAUUCAGUAGGUGUGGGGAUUUUGCAUUUCUAACAAGCACCCAGGUAAUGCAAA
Macaca mulatta (Rhesus monkey) is the source of this 87-nucleotide non-coding RNA. NCBI's taxonomy places the organism in Eukaryota, Metazoa, Chordata, Mammalia, Primates, Cercopithecidae. The record is from Rfam.